UGUGAUCUAAUCUGAUCUGAACUUAUUUUUUCUGAAAUAAGUAAAAAUAAGAUGAACUAAACAAGGCCUUAAUCGCACCGCUUCGGUUCGAAUCGGUGGGAAAGUUGUUCGAACCGGUGGGAAAGCUAUUGUAAAAAAAAUAAAUAAAAUGGGCCUUAUCUUUUUUCUUUCUCUUUCUGUCUUAUGUAUUUCUCUUUCCUCGAUCUCUCCUCCACUCUCAUCUGCCUCUCUCAGUCUCUAUCAUCUACAACAAUGGAGCCUCAAACUCCUUCUCUCUCCUUCGAUCUCCUUCUCCAUAUCCGCCGCUUUCUCUUUCCUUUUCUCUCUCAUUCUCCAUAACUGCGCCGCAAGCAACGCCGCUCUCCUUCUCCUUCUCAGUCUGAAAUCGGCCGCCGUCAAUUUGAACCAAAUACAACAACAACAACAACAACAACAAACUUGAAUCAAUUAUCGAUUCAAAGUUCACAAAUUCAAGAGUUGGUGUGUGAACCAUCAAAUAGUUGAAGCCAUGGUUCCGUUUGAAUACAAGCCGUAUUUGGAUUCCAAAACAUUGUAAGUGUAAAUUCGAUUUGUUUUGUUGAAUGGGAUAAUUAGUUGAAGGUUUAUGUUGUUGAAGGUGUAUAUGUGUGUGUGUUAAUUUAUUUAGGGUUGGUUGAUGGGUUGAUUGAUUGCAUUAAUUUGGUUUAUGUGUGUGGGAAUUCAGCUUAUUGUCUAUUUAGAAAUUGUUUGAGGUUGUUUUACUGGAAUCACAUUCAGAGGUUUAGUUCUUUGAAUUCCUUGCUUGGGAAAAAUCUUGUCUUUUUUCAAGUAUAAUAAUUUACACUGCAUUUUAAUUUUAUUUUUCAGAUUUUUUUGUAGAAAAUUUCAUGGCUUAGUGUUGAAAUAUGUUAUUUAAUUACUUUAUUAUGGGGUUGUGAUUUUGUUGAAUGAUGCUGAAAUCCAAUGUUUUACUUUUGUAAGUAAUUUUAAAUGGGGUUGUGUUUCUGUUGUGAUUCAUGUGGAAAUCUGUAAAAAAAAAAAUUAUUCCAAUCUAAGGUUGCCUGGAAUGUGGAUUCCUCUACAUGGGACAAUAUAUCACUAGUGUUUGCUUUUUCUCAAUAUAAGCUUAAUCAUGUAAUUUCCUAAUGGAAAUCCAGUGCAUCACUUCCUGAUUUGUUCAUAGUCGUAAAAGAGAAGAAAAAUGAAAGUCUUAUAUGAGAGGCUGGGAGUACUAUCUUUUUAUGCUUAUUAAAAAUAUUAAAAAGACAUUGUGGCAAAUGAGUUUUUACACUAAAAUCUAUGGCCUACUAUAUGCUGCUCAGUGGAGUUACACCCUAAGAUUCGAGUUUGUGAUUUAAUCUACUAGAUUUUGGACAAAAUAGAGAACUUUCUUGCUCAUUUUCCACUCAGUCAAAACAUAAUCUCUUUAGGAUGCAAAGUGGCUUUAUACGACCUUGCACACUUGGUUUACUCUGUCAGUAAGCUUAGAAGAUAGAAUUCAUUAUUUGCAACUUCUAAUGACAAGAGAUGACCUUUUAUUAAUGCUUAUCCUAAUUUCUGCUUGUUUUAUUGAGUUCUAAUUAAAUUUAUCCUUUCCUCCAGUUGAAGGUAUUUCAUUGUUUACGUCUAAAAGGCCAAAAUUGAUUUGAUGACAAAUUCCUCUAUUCCUUUUAUGCCGUGGAAAUAUGUUCAGUGGUAUAGAAAUAAGGGCUAGAUUAGUUUUAGGAAAAUAUUGUAAAUAACCACCCCUAAAAUUGAAUUUACCACCUAUUUUUUUGUUUAUUUUAAUUAAUCACCCCUUAAAGUGAAAAAAUUUAGAAAUCUAUAAGCAUUUAGAAGCGCACAUGGUCUAUGUAUAUGUACAACUGUACACUGUCAAGAAUGUCCACAAAAGCAACAUAUUAUACAAGAGUAGAUUCUUGCUGACUGAAUUCAAUUAAGAGUUGUUUUUUCAGCCUAUCCCUCUCCUAACUUUUCUAUGUCCUACUCUCCUUCUGUCUCCCUCUCAUAUCAGUACCACUGAUAAGAUUCCUUUCAGAACUCUGUUGCUUUUGACUGACUGGUCCUUUUCUAUGGGGAGCAAGAGACAAUCUCCACGGAAUCUCCCUGCCUGUUAUUUGCUUGAGCUCACUGCUUGUUUCCAUAGUUUCCAAAUCUUUCACCCCUAUACUCUCCUUUUCUUUGCGGGAUUAUUUUUAUUUAUCGAUAGUUUCUUUAUAGCAAAACAGUGGUAAAUCUUUCAGUUAUGGGUUGGCUUGAUGCAAUCAUUAGGAUGAAACUUGUCUCUUGUCUGUCUGUAUCCCAUAUCGUUUUGGUUAUUUCUUCUCCCUUGGGUAUGCUUACCUUAAUGGAGGGUUUACUAUAUAAGACACAAGUGGAAUAUCAAACCUGGAAAUUUGGUAAGCAUCUUACUUCUCAUAAGUAUUGGUACCUUUCUUUAAUGUGGAAUUGAACAUAAGAUUAUUAUCCAAACAAGUACUUGGUACAAAGUUGAGGUUGUGUUAGCAUAAUAAAUUAAUGUUUAGAUUCAUCAUAUUUGCAAAAUACUACUACUAUAUCGUGUCAACACUACUGCUUUCUUAUAUAAUACUCUUUUUUUUGCUUAGAAUUACUCAUAAGAAAAGUGACAAAAAAGACCAUAGUAACGCUGCCUAUGUUUUGUCUGCUUCACUAACUACCUCCGGUUGUAUUUUAUUUUGCUCAUAUGCAAAUUGUACAUUUACGAGUCCUUGUUUUUGUGGCAAGAAUUAUAUAUCUGACAUCAAGGUUAAAGGUAAUGUGUAGUUGCAUUCAUACUAAAAAGGUAAAGCUACUUCAUUACUCUGUGAAACAAACAAAAAUGGAUGUGUACAUUUGCUGAAUGGCUUCUAUCUAGUUUCUUUGGUUGAAUUUUUCAUCUAUCGAAUGCCAACAUUCAAUCUGUUUUCUUGAUGAUAUAGCCACCAACAUAACAUAUGUGCUGAACUUCUGUUUGUGCUAUCAAAUUAUAACUGUAGGUAAUGCUAAUGCAUGUAUUUGGCUUCUUUUUGGUGUUUGUUGUGCCGUCUAUGCUUGCUGCAAUGAACUUGAUGUGGUUUGGGAAGAUACUUAGAGGAUUGAAGAAGAAGUUAGCAAAGAGACAAUGACUCAGUAAUGGAAUUGCAUGGUAUUUUCUUAGAAUCUUUUUUCUUCGGUGUAAAAAAAGUGGGUUGGAAAUGUGAAGGCAAAGGGAUCUUUUUUCUUCGUGAAGAAAAUAUAUGUGUUUUAUGUAUAUUAUGAUUAUAUAUAAGUAUUUGAUACAAUUUAAGUGAAAAAAAUGCAAAAAAAAAAAAUCUGUUUUUUUUUUGGGGCAUUAUUGGCACCGGUUUUGAACAGAACCUGCGCUAAAAGUUUUUUUUAAUUUUUUUUGCCACUUUUUGUACCGGUUCAACGCAAGAACCGGUGCUAAAAGUGUGUUUUUUUGCACCGGUUCUCACCCAGAAUCGGUGCGAAAAGCAUGUUUUCCCACCGGUUUUGAACCGGUGUGAAAUGUCUGGGGUUUUAGCACCCCCCGGUUCAAAAUCGGUGCUAAAUGGGGGUUUUGAACCGGUGCGGAUUACGUGUUUUCGCUUAGUGUGAAGGCUUUUCUAGUCAAGUUCUUGGGACAGGAAAAGACUGCAAGGUUGAAAAAUGAGUUAUCUACUUUCAGGCAAUUAGAUGAUGAGUCCCUAUAUGACGCAUGGAGGAGAUUCAAGCGAUUGCAGAGACAAUGCCCUCACCAUGGUAUUCCUGAAUGGAUGUUGAUACAAACCUUCUAUAAUGGUUUAACUCAUGAGUUCCGAAUCUAUAUUGAUGCUGCACCCGGGGGUUCUCUCUUGACUAAGAACCCAACUGAGGCGAAGGAGCUAGUUGAGAAGAUGGCGACCAAUGAUAACUAACAUCUAGGAGGACGAAAUAGUGUGAAGAAGGGAGGUAAAUUAGAUGUUGAUGCUCUAACUCUUUUGACUAGCUCUGUGUAGGCAUUGUCAAGAAAGUUCAACAGACUCCAAGCUGGAUCAUCCGCUAGCUUACCUAAGACUUGUCAAAUGUGUAAUGUGCAAGGUCACAUCGUACCUAAUUGCCCACAAAAUUCAAAUGAGAUAUCAAUCGAGGAAGUCAAUGCAUUCUACACUUCUAAUCCCAAAAGGUCAUAUGACCCCCACUCUAACACAUAUAAUGAAGGUUGGAAGAAUCACCGAAAUUUUUCCUACAAGAAUACCCAAGCCCAACAAAAUCCACCUCCACCACCACCUUGAAACAACAAUUAUAAUGCACCACCUGGUUUCCAACCAAGGCCAUCUCUAGUCUAACAACCCAUGCAACAUGUGCAACCACCUCAAAAAUAUAACCUUGAGCUAAUGACGGAGAACUUUAUCACCACAAAAAAAAAUUCCAUCCAAUAGUUACAAGCUUAGAGCAAGCUCAUGGAAAAUUAGAUAAGUGAACUUUCUCAUCAAGUUGGCCAAUCUUUACUUUGAGGAAUGGAAAACAAUUGGAAAAUCCUCCCGUAUGGGAGCCAUCAUAGGAGGUUGUUGAAGGGGUAGGCGCAAAUGAAAAGGUGGUUGAAAGUACUAUGAUUGAGGAAGAGCCAAAGGAAACUACUCCACCACCUCUUGCUCUAUAUGUGCCAAAUGUUCCUUUUCCGCAGAGGUUAGCCCAAGCAAAGUUAGAGAAAAAGUAUGGAAAAUUUCUCGAUAUUCUGAAAAAGCUUCACAUCAACAUUCCAUUCUUAGAUGCAAUAUCCAAGAUGCCAUCUUAUGCAAAAUUCUUAAAGGAUAUUCUCUCUAACAAGAAGAAGCUAGAAGGGAAUGCUACAGUUGCAUUGACUGCAGUGUGUAGUGCAAUUUUGCAAAACACACUUCCUAAGAAAUUAAGCGAUCUAGGUAGCUAUUCAAUUCCGGUCCUUGGAGGCAUAGAGAUCAACAUGGAAUUAUGUGAUCUUGGUGCAAGUGUGAGUCUUAUGCCGCUCUCUAUUUGCAAGAAACUUGAAAUGAGUGAACUAAAGCCUACGCUCAUAUCACUACAACUUGCGGAUAGGUCGGUUAAGUUUCCUUUAGGUUAUUUAAAGAUGUUCCUCUUCGCGUGGGAAAAUUCUUUAUUCCAUGAGAUUUCGCUGUGAUGGAGAUAGAAGAGGAUUCACAUGUUCCUAUCAUUCUUGGUAGACCAUUCCUAGCCACUACAGCUGCAAUCAUUGAUAUGAAGAAUGGUAAAAUCACCUUUGAGGUAGGUGACGAGAAAAUGGAGUAUUCACUCUUGAAUGCUAUGGGAACUCCAUCGAUGGGAGAGACUAUUUGUCAAGUGGACGUCCUUGAUGAUUUACAAAGAGAGCAACUUCCCAUGAUCAAGAUGGAUGAUGCACUUGAAACGUUGUUAAUGGGGAGUGCCAAUGAUGAAGAUUGGGAAACAAGGGAAUACACAAGGCUACUAGAGGAAGCAAAAGCUAACCUAAUCAUCGCUCAAAUCAAAGAAGUCCGUAAUGCAUCGAGUGUUGGGGAGAGAACUACGCCUCCCGAGGUAUUACUGAAACCCCUUCCCUCUAAUCUUUAAUAUGCAUACCUUGGUCCUAAUAAUACAUACCCUGUUAUUGUUAAUGCUGAACUUAACAACACAAUUUUAGAGCAACUGCUCAUUAUUUUGAGAAAAUAUAAAAGUGUUAUUGGGUACACCAUUGAUGAUAUUAAAGGUAUUAAUCCUUCUUUUUGUACGCAUAAUCGUUCUUGAGGACGAUCAUGCCUCCUCAGUAGAAUCUCAAAGAAGGCUUAAUCCAAACAUGAUGGAGGUAGUUAAAAAAGAAGUUCUUAAAUUGCUUGCUGCAGGAAUAAUUUACCCUAUCUCAGAUACUAAGUGGGUUAGCCCUGUACAGGUAGUACUAAAAAAGGAGGUUUGACCGUUGUUAAGAAUGACAAGGGUAAGCCUAUCGCCACUAGGACUGUUACAGAGUGGCGAAUGUGUACUGAUUAUAAGAGGUUGAAUAAGGCCUCCCGGAAGGACCAUUUCCCCCUCCCCUUUAUUGAUCAGAUGCUUGAACGUUUGGCUAAGCAUUCCUUUUUCUGUUAUUUGGAUGGAUAUUCUGGUUUCUUUCAAAUUCCUAUUCGUCCUUGUGAUCAGGAAAAGACCACAUUCAUAUGUCCAUACGACACUUUUGCAUAUCGUAGAAUACCGUUUGGAUUAUGUAAUUCCCUAGCCACAUUUCAACGUUGUUUGAUGACAAUUUUUUCGGGCCUUAUAUAAAAUUCUAUAGAUGUGGUUAUAGAUGAUUUUUCUGUUUAUGGAACUUCUUUCGAUGUGCCUUGAUAAUUUGAAAAAGGUGCUCGAUAGAUGUCAGGAAGUCAAUCUAAUUCUGAAUUGGGAAAAAUGUCAUUUUAUGGUUCAAUAGGGAAGCGUUUUAGGCCAUGUCGUGUCAAACAAGGAUACUGAGGUCGAUAAGGCUAAAAUUGAGGUUAUUGAGCGCUUACCAUCUCCGAAUUCUGUUAAAGGAGUUCAAAGUUUUCUUGGUCAUGCUGGACUUUAUCGUCUCUUCAUUAAGGAUUUUUCAAAGAUUGCUCGACCUCUAACUGAGCUUCGAGCUAAAGAUGCCCUUUUGUUUUUACUGAUGCUUGUCUUGAGGAUUUUCCCGAUUUGGUAUCCCACGUAUGUUGAUUAGUGACAGGGGAACACAUUUUUAGGAGCAUCGGUUCGAACUGAUGUUGAAGAAAUAUGGAGUGCAACACAGGCUGGGCAUUGGCUAUCAUCCACAGACCAGUGGUCAAGUUGAAGUGUCCAACCGGGAAAUUAAAUUUAUCCUAGAGAAAACGGUUGCAAGGACAAGAAAGGAUUGGUCGGCCAAGAUUGAUGAUGCACUAUGGGCAUACCGAACAGCUUUCAAAACGCCAAUAGGUAUAACCUCAUAUAGACUUGUCUAUGGAAAGGCAUGCCACCUACCCGUUGAGCUAGAACACCGAGCAUUUUGGGCUAUUAAGAGCUUAAAUUUUGAUGCUAAAGCAGCGGGAGAAAAGAGGUUGUUACAGUUGAAUGAACUAGAUGAGCUAUGUCUUGAAGCUUAUGAGAUUUCAAAACUAUAUAAAAAAAGAACUAAGCGGUGGCAUGAUAAGGGCCUUGUGAGAAAAGAAUUCAAGGAAGGAGAUCAAGUUCUUCUAUUUAACUUACGGUUGAAAUUGUUUCCCGGAAAGCUUCGGUCUAGGUGGUUAGGUCCUUUCACUGUUUUUAAGGCCUACCCCUACGGUACUAUUGAACUAUGGAACAAGACCGGGUCCACUUUCAAGGUCAACGGCCAAAGGGUGAAGCAUUACCGUGUUGGGGAUCCUAUCGAAGAGAAAGUGGACAUCACACUCUCUUCCCCAUCACCAAUUCAAUGAGCAUCACUACGAUCGAGCUAACGACCUUAUAAACAAGCGCUUGCGGGAGGCAACCCGUUUUCUUAGUUUUUUUUUUUCCUAUUUUUCAUCUUCUCUUUUUAGUUUUGUGUUUGUGUUUGUUUUGUUUUUCAGAGAACACCGAGCAAUGUAAGAAGUGGGAUGUCAAGAAGGUCGUCAAAGGUUGAUAAAAUGAGGAAUUAACUCGUCGCCCUGGCAAACCGGGCAUGCCACGCUCGACCGGGCGUGAGAAGCAGAGUCAUAAGGGGAAGAAAGGGGAGAAAAGAAAACAUGAAAUAUUUUCUAACCCCCAGAACCUGGUCAGACCGGGCAUCACUGCCCGAUCGGGCGUGAGAGCCAAACUCGGAAAUUACGAAUGGAAAAAUUUUCUUCUUUAAACGCCCGGGCGCGAAGAGAAACUGCGAGGACAACACGUUUUAAUUCACAAAAAAAAAAAAUGCCCUCUUCACCAUUCUACUCUUUCAUUAUUCCUACACUCUCUCUCUAAAAACCACAAAAUCAAAAACCCUAACUCUCAUCCUCUCCUCUAAUUCCCACAAACUUCUCUCAAAUCCUUUCAAUUUCUUCAUCCUUCAUCACUUCGACCCCAUAUCCAACCUCCAUUACUAUUCCUCUCCAUCUAAACACUCAUCUCACCCGAAAUUUUUCUUUUUUAGAGAGAGAAAGCUUGAGAAAUAUUAAUGGCUGCAAGGAAGAGAAAUAGGAGCGCCCCUCAAGAACCACAACUAGAUUUGGAGAGCAUUCCAGGGUUCCCAAACAUCAAGUUCGUGGCCGAAUUUCCAAAUCAAAAGAAGCGGUUCCUAGAGCUACAACAUCGGGAGGUAAUUCCCACUCAUUUUAUACACCGUUCUCUUCUUGCUAAAUUAGGAAUAGAUUCCAAUUGUAGAACCUUGUUUUCUAAGCUUGGCAUGUCUCAAUUGUUUAACAUGAUCCAUUAUACAUGUGAAGAUAUCACUCUUGAAUUUUUGAGCUAUUUUGAUAUAGUAAAAGGUAGAGAUGGUUUGGUGACACACGUAGUUUAUAGAUUGUUGAAUAAAUCCCACUGUCUUACACUAGAUGGUUUUGGUAGGAAGUUUGGUCUUCCGUCCAUAGGAUUAACCAUGCAACCGAACAAUUUCAUUUUUGGGGAUUUGUGGUUUGCCAUGACAGGUGAAAACAUCGAGUCUAUGCAACAUGCUCUCGCUAACAAAAUCCAUUAACUAACCCGUCCUUAGACUUUUGACUCGCUUUUCUGGGUGGACUAUUUUUGGACGGAUAGAACCUAAUAAAGUUGGGGCAGACAAGUUGCAAUCUUGGGUAGUUAUCUAUGAUAUGGGGAUUCUGAUGAGGGUUUUCAGAUGAACAUUUCUCACCUACUUGCCCUUCAUCUUAGGAAAUAGGAUCUUACCUUCACCACUGUCAAACCUAAUGGAGGCCGUACCAACAUCCCUAUAGUCGUAGGCGGUUUGGUGACCCACUUGGCAGUUAAGGAGGGUUUUGAUGAAGCCCACCAUACACCAAUGCUGGAUCCUAUUACCUUGGACCAGCACUACUUCACUACCACCGGCUGGUUGUCAGUUGAAUUUGGUAAUUACAGUUGGCUCAUUGGAAAGAGCAAUAGGCGUUCCAUCUCCUUACCCUCUCCUGACCUUUUUAAGAUUCGCCCUCACCAACCUUCAUAUAUUUUAGAGGUUCCUAGCAGUUCACUUGCCCUAGUUGCCCCCACGAGGACUUACUAUAGGCGAGAGUCUGCUGGACCCUCCACAUCUUCCACUACACCACCUGUCUCAUUUGACAACGAGGCCAUCAUGGCCAGUAUACGGGAACUUCAGCUAGGCCAGCAAGGCUUAUGCUCCCGUAUCCAGACACUUAAGACCGAUUUUCGCUUAUCUAUGCAUCAUGUCUAUGGUUAUUUUUACAGGCAAGGUCAUAUUCCGAGUGAUGCUUCCCAUCCUUCGUGGCAUACCUUUCCCAAUGUGGGAGAUAUUACAGGUGGUAGCGGGGCAGCCGAUGAUGAUGAUGAUGGUGACGAUGAUGACGGUGAUGGUGAUGAUGAUGAUGAUGAAUUCGAGUGAGGAUUCAUAGGUGUUUUUCCCACCUUCCACACGUUGCAAUGAGGCCAUUGCCGAGUGUAGCUUGGGGGAGGCUUGUGUAUAUGUAUAUAUCUCUCGAGGUUUCUUGGAUGAAUUGGACCUGUUUUGGAUGGUUAUGGAAGAGGUUGUUGAGUGAGAUGAAGAUUUCCCCAAUGCCCUGGCUGCUAGGGCGAAGGAAGGAAGAGCUAACUAUGAAGAAUCAUCAUAGAUCCCACAUGCCCUGGCUGACAGGGCAGUGAGGAGUGUUAUUCUCAGAGCUUCAUUCAAGAAGUUGUUACACGCACCCGACCGGGCACCACAUGCCAUGACUGACCGGGCAUAAGAAGAAGAACACAGGAAGAAGGAAAUUACUUCGUCCGCCCAAUCGGGCAGGCUCCGCCCCGGCAGACCGGGCACUGUUGCGCGACGACCGUCUUUAACUAAUUACUGGAUUCUAUCUUUUUAAGGGUAUAAAUACCCCUUGUAAUCACAUUUAGAGAGUAGAUUAUUUAUUUUCUCUAGUAUUAUAACUACUUUAAAACCCUAGUUUUCUCUUCUUUCAGCAAUUAAGUUCUACUCUUAGUUUGGAUCAUUGUGCAUCAACAAUUCAAGUUCUUUCAAUUGAAGCAAUUGGUAUUUAUCUAUUCUCUUAA
Molecule: long non-coding RNA, 10053 nt
Organism: Chenopodium quinoa (quinoa)
Lineage: Eukaryota; Viridiplantae; Streptophyta; Magnoliopsida; Caryophyllales; Amaranthaceae
Exons: 3
Source: RefSeq, a predicted model, not a curated record